Molecule: non-coding RNA, 1561 nt
Organism: Notechis scutatus (mainland tiger snake)
Lineage: Eukaryota; Metazoa; Chordata; Lepidosauria; Squamata; Elapidae
Source: RefSeq, a predicted model, not a curated record
GCCCUUUCGUUUGUACGUUCGGAGAGUGGAAAUAGGAGCCUAAAACCUGUGAUGGUGUUGCUGUUAGACACAAUGAACUCUGUGACCUGAUAACACUACUAUUAAGAUGAAGAUGAAAUUCAGAGAGCAGCUGGGACGCAUUUGACAUUGGGUCUUCAGUUUCUGAUUCCAAACAUGCAUCAAUGAUAUGGGAACAAUCUUAGACUAAAGACAGCCAUUAUAUCUUCUGGGAAAAAAAAAAGUGUUGAAGUCAAAGGAGAAUCUGAAGUUGACUUGGCCGGAGUUGCAUCAUGCAUGAGCUCUAAUGAUCUUCGAAGAUUUGAAGAAAAUCAGUGCAUUAAAAAUGUAAAACUAUUGCCUUAAGCCCCCUUCAUGGGUUACUGCUUGUCAUGGUGAAGGGGCUUGCAUAGUUCAAUGAAGGUAUGAGUUAUGCCAUGCAGGGCCACCCAAGAUGAACAGGUCAUAGCAGAGAGUUCUGACAAAAUGUGAUCCACUGGAGAAGAAAAUGGCAACCCACUCCGGUAUCUUUGCCAUGAAAAUCCCAUGGACAGGACCAAAAGGCAAAAAGAUAUGACGCUGGAAGAUGAGCCCCUCAGGUCGGAAGGUGUCCAAUAUGCUACUGGGGAAGAGCAGAGGGAUAGUACUAGUAGCGCCAGAAAAAGUGAAGCAACUGGGCCAAAGCUGAAAGGAGGCUCAGCUGUUGGAUGCAUCUGGUGGUGCAAGGAAAGUCCGAUGAUGUAAAGAUCUAUUCUUCAUAGGAAUCUAGAAUGUAAGAUCCAUGAAUUGAGGCAAGCCUAGACAUGGUCAAACGAGAUGACAAGAUUGAACAUCAACAUCUUGGGAAUCAGUGAACUAAAAUGAACAGGAAAGGGUUAAUUUAAUUCAGAUGAAUCCCUCAAACAAUGGAGUAGCCUUCAUAGUCAAUAAAAGUAGGAAAAGCAAUACUGGGAUACAAUCCCCAAAAUGACAGAAUGAUCUCAGUUUGAAUCCAAGGCAAACCAUUCAAUAUCUCAGUAGUCGCUGGUGCUGAAGAGGAUGGAAUUGACCAGUUCUAUGAAGUCCUACAGCACAGUACAGAAUUAACACCAAAAAAUGAUGUCCUUAUUCAUCAUGGGGGGUUGAAAUGCUAAAGUAGGAAGCCAAAAGAUAACUGGAAUAACAGGCAAUUUUGGCUUUGGAGUAUAAAAUGAAGCAGGGCACAGGCUGAUAGAAUUUUGUCAAGAAGAAUACUUGAUGGUCAUAGCAAACAUUCUUUUCCAGCAAUCCAAGAGACAUCUCUACACAUGGACAUCACCAGAUGGUCAACACAAAUCAGAUUGAUUAUGUGCUUUGCAGCCAAAGAUAGAGUAAAAACAAGACCAGGAGCUGACGCUCAGAUGAUGAACUUCUCGUUGCAAAAUGUAGGCUUAAAUUGAAGAAAGUAGGAAAAAGCACUAAGCCACUUGGGUAUGAACUAAAUCAUAUCCUGAUGAAUAUUCAGUAGAAGUGGCAAAUUUAAGGAAUUGCAUCUGAUAGAGUGCCUUAAGCAUUAAAUGUAGCACCAGAAUGUAUGUGUUUUUUU